This 460-nucleotide ribosomal RNA is filed under the name uncultured bacterium. RNAcentral's name for it is "partial 16S ribosomal RNA". It matches the Rfam family "Bacterial small subunit ribosomal RNA", at positions 338 to 795 of the family's 1533-position model. The record is from RNAcentral.
CCUACGGGUGGCAGCAGUGAGGAAUAUUGGUCAAUGGGCGCGAGCCUGAACCAGCCAAGUAGCGUGAAGGAUGACUGCCCUACGGGUUGUAAACUUCUUUUAUAAAGGAAUAAAGUGAGGCACGUGUGCCUUUUUGUAUGUACUUUAUGAAUAAGGAUCGGCUAACUCCGUGCCAGCAGCCGCGGUAAUACGGAGGAUCCGUGCGUUAUCCGGAUUUAUUGGGUUUAAAGGGGGCGUAGGCGGGCGGAUAAGUUAGAUGUGAAAUCCCGAGGCUCAACCCCGGAAUUGCCGCUGAUACUGGUCGGCGAGAGAGUAGUGGCGGUAGGCGGAAUGCAUGGUGUAGCGGUGAAAUGCUUAGAGAUCAUGCAGAACACCGAUUGCGAAGGCAGCUUACCGAGCUACUACUGACGUUGAGGCACGAAAGCGUGGGGAGCAAACAGGAUUUGAUACCCGAGUAGUC